AUGAGGGAACCGGUCAGGAUUUGGCAGGGCGAUGCAUUUCUCAGAACACUUCCUUCUCCCUGCUUUUUCUGUCUUCACUAAUAUUUAUUCUUGGGUUUCUAUUUUGUUUUAGAGAGUUUGCAAAACUGCUGUUUUGGGACCGAAGGGAAUAUUCUGCUGUGAAAGAACGUUUUAUGGACUUCAUACAACUGGGACCUUCAACACCGUCACCACCCUUGAAGCAACUGGGGGGCGGGGUGCAGCCGAGUGGGGCUGGUGCACAGCUGUGGCGGACUCCUGGCAUUCUCCACUCCUGGCCAGGCAGCUCUGGAAUCUGGAACAGGACAGGACAUGGUGGGAGCUGCAGGUGGUCCUGAUGUCAUUAAGAGUGAAGAAGAGGUUGAGAGUUUUUGGCUAUCUGCACUCAAUGGGGGAUGUGAAGGAUUCAUUGCAUGGGCUUAUGAAUCUCCAGAUGGCCUCAAAUGUACCAUGUGACUGGGGACAACCUCAUUCUCCUUGUCUCCAUUUCCCAAGUGCUGGGAUCUCAGAUAUGCCUGCCUGCAGAGAUUUCAUAAUGCCCUCAACUCUAUGGAGGAGGCCAGAAGAAGGUGUGAGAUCCCCUGGAACCGGAAUCACAGACAAUGGUGAGCUGCUGUAUAGAGACCCAGAUGAUCUGUCUAGGACUUUCAGACAAAGGUCUCACUCUUGAGAAUGAUGGGAAAGAAAGGCAAGGAACACCGGCCCUUGGAUGACAGUAUGGAGGAGAGCCCUCAGCCUGCCUGGAAUGCAGAGGUUGUUUGAAGUGGCAAGGUAUGGCCGCUAAGGCCCUCCCGAAACAUCAUGUCAUCCUGGAAUGUGGGCUGAAGAGAACCUUUGACCUCUGAACUGGGGAGAAGAUGGAUAAUGGCUCGAAGAUCUCCCAGCUUCUCAACCUUUGUCAGUCUGAGAACACAAUCUGGCAGCUGAGUGAUGUGUGUUCGAGGCUGGACCCCAAGAAUGUGGGGCUUGUAUUCACGUCAACAUACAACAACCCAAAGAAAACAAAAAUAAAAGCAAAAUCCAAAAACCAAACCAAAACCCUACACACAAGGAAAAGAAAAAAAAAAAAACCCAAAAAACUCAUUGGGGU
Cricetulus griseus (Chinese hamster) is the source of this 1108-nucleotide non-coding RNA. NCBI's taxonomy places the organism in Eukaryota, Metazoa, Chordata, Mammalia, Rodentia, Cricetidae. The record is from RefSeq and is a predicted model, not a curated record.